GACGAACGCUGGCGGCGUGCUUAACACAUGCAAGUCGAACGGAAAGGCCCUGCUUUUGUGGGGUGCUCGAGUGGCGAACGGGUGAGUAACACGUGAGUAACCUGCCCUUGACUUUGGGAUAACUUCAGGAAACUGGGGCUAAUACCGGAUAGGAGCUCCUGCUGCAUGGUGGGGGUUGGAAAGUUUCGGCGGUUGGGGAUGGACUCGCGGCUUAUCAGCUUGUUGGUGGGGUAGUGGCUUACCAAGGCUUUGACGGGUAGCCGGCCUGAGAGGGUGACCGGCCACAUUGGGACUGCGAUACGGCCCAGACUCCUACGGGAGGCAGCAGUGGAGAAUAUUGCACAAUGGGCGGAAGCCUGAUGCAGCAACGCCGCGUGCGGGAUGACGGCCUUCGGGUUGUAAACCGCUUUCGCCUGAGACGAAGCGUGAGUGACGGUAAUGGGUAAAGAAGCACCGGCUAACUACGUG
RNAcentral lists this ribosomal RNA (468 nucleotides) under uncultured bacterium. RNAcentral describes it as "partial 16S ribosomal RNA". It matches the Rfam family "Bacterial small subunit ribosomal RNA", at positions 28 to 507 of the family's 1533-position model. The record is from RNAcentral.